CGCCUCUGCCGCCGCGGAGCCGCUCGCCCCUGGUCAGGCGUUGCUGAGCCGUGCCCGGAGGCCGGCCAAGGAGGCUGCAGCCCCAGCCAGGAGCCCGCAGCCCCCGCCUCGAGCCCUCCGCCGCCCUCCGAGGGCGCCCCAGGCCGCGCCAUGGUGAAGGUGACGUUCAAUUCGGCUCUGGCCCAGAAGGAGGCCAAGAAGGACGAGCCCAAGUGCGGCGAGGAGGCACUCAUCAUCCCCCCCGAUGCCGUCGCGCUAGACUGCAAGGACCCAGAUGAAGUGGUACCAGUUGGCCAAAGAAGAGCCUGGUGUUGGUGCAUGUGCUUUGGACUAGCAUUUAUGCUUGCAGGUGUUAUUCUAGGAGGAGCAUACCUGUACAAAUAUUUUGCACCUCAACCCGAUGAUGUGUACUACUGUGGAAUAAAGUAUAUCAAAGAUGAUGUCAUCUUAAACGAGCCUUCUGCAGAUGUCCUGGCUGCUCGCUACCAGACAAUUGAGGAAAAUAUUAAGAUCUUUGAGGAAGAAGAGGUUGAAUUCAUCAGUGUACCUGUCCCAGAAUUUGCAGAUAGUGAUCCUGCCAACAUUGUUCAUGACUUUAACAAGAAACUCACAGCCUAUUUAGAUCUUAAUCUGGAUAAGUGCUAUGUGAUUCCACUGAACACUUCCAUUGUUAUGCCACCAAGAAACCUGCUGGAGUUACUUAUUAACAUAAAGGCUGGAACCUAUUUGCCUCAGUCCUAUCUCAUUCAUGAACACAUGGUUAUCACUGAUCGCAUUGAAAACGUCGAUCACCUGGGUUUCUUUAUUUACCGACUGUGCCAUGACAAGGAAACUUACAAACUGCAACGCAGAGAAACCAUCAGAGGUAUUCAGAAACGUGAAGUCAGCAAUUGUGUUACAAUUCGGCAUUUUGAAAACAAAUUUGCUGUGGAAACUGUAAUUUGUCCUUGAACAGUCAAGAAAAACAUUACAGGAGAAAAAUUUAAUAUCGCAGCAUAACCCCACCCUUUGUAUUUUGUGCAGUGAUUAUUUUUUAAGAUCUUCUUUCAUGUAAGUAGCAAACAGGGCUUCACUCUCUUUUCAUCUCAUUAAUUCAAUUAAAACCAUUACCUUUUAAAAAUC
Callorhinus ursinus (northern fur seal) is the source of this 1122-nucleotide non-coding RNA. Lineage: Eukaryota; Metazoa; Chordata; Mammalia; Carnivora; Otariidae. The record is from RefSeq and is a predicted model, not a curated record.